RNAcentral lists this ribosomal RNA (349 nucleotides) under Sarcoglanis simplex. RNAcentral's name for it is "partial 12S ribosomal RNA". It matches the Rfam family "Bacterial small subunit ribosomal RNA", at positions 852 to 1368 of the family's 1533-position model. Lineage: Eukaryota; Metazoa; Chordata; Actinopteri; Siluriformes; Trichomycteridae. The record is from RNAcentral.
UUGCCUUACAAAAACAUCCGCCUGGGUACUACGAGCACAGCUUAAAACCCAAAGGACUUGGCGGUGCCCCAGAUCCCCCUAGAGGAGCCUGUUCUAGAACCGAUAACCCCCGUUGAACCUUACCAUCCCUUGUUUUUCCCGCCUAUAUACCGCCGUCGUCAGCUUACCCUGUGAAGGCACUACAGUAAGCAAAAUGAGUAACACCCAAAACGUCAGGUCGAGGUGUAGCGUACGAGAUGGAAAGAAAUGGGCUACAUUUUCUAUUACAGAAUACCACGAAUAGCACCUUGAAACAAGUGCUUGAAGGCGGAUUUAGCAGUAAAAAGCAAGCAGAGCGUCCUUUUGAAUU